This 490-nucleotide ribosomal RNA is filed under the name uncultured bacterium. RNAcentral describes it as "bacterial SSU rRNA". It matches the Rfam family "Bacterial small subunit ribosomal RNA", at positions 28 to 529 of the family's 1533-position model. The record is from RNAcentral.
GACGAACGCUGGCGGCGUGCCUAACACAUGCAAGUCGAGCGAAUGAAGUUCCUUCGGGAACGGAUUUAGCGGCGGACGGGUGAGUAACACGUGGGCAACCUGCCUCAUAGAGGGGAAUAGCCUUCCGAAAGGGAGAUUAAUACCGCAUAAGAUUGUAGUACCGCAUGGUACAGCAAUUAAAGGAGCAAUCCACUAUGAGAUGGGCCCGCGGCGCAUUAGCUAGUUGGUGAGGUAACGGCUCACCAAGGCGACGAUGCGUAGCCGACCUGAGAGGGUGAUCGGCCACAUUGGGACUGAGACACGGCCCAGACUCCUACGGAGGCAGCAGUGGGGAAUAGUUGCACAAUGGGGGAAACCCUGGAUGCAGCAACGCCGACGUGAGCGAUGAAGGCCUUGGCGUAAAGCUCUGUCUCAAGGAAGAUAAAUGACGGUACUUAGGAGGAGGAAGCCCCGGCUAACUACGUGCCAGCAGCCGCGGUAAUAUAGCGUA